Molecule: small RNA, 643 nt
Filed under: Pongo abelii (Sumatran orangutan)
Lineage: Eukaryota; Metazoa; Chordata; Mammalia; Primates; Hominidae
Description: processed transcript
Source: RNAcentral
CGUUUGUGGGUAACCCGGACGUGGAAGAACCUAGUCUGCGGAGGAAAAGUCCCAGGUGCGGGUCAAUCCCCAUACACAGCCGCCGCCAUUGCCUCGAGUCCUUGUGUCUGACUGUCUGUUCCUGCUGCUGUAUGACACAGCAUCUCGAGGCAAGGAAAUAAGAAAACUGCCUCUGAUCCAAGCAGAGAAGGUCUGCCUGUAGAUCUGCUGUAGGGCUUGUCACCAUUGGAAGCAAGGUCCUACUUCAGUGGCAGAUCUGGUGGCCUUGGAGUGGCUGAAGACCACCACCCUCCACAGGGCUGGGCCCAUGCACAACCAUCCUUCCCUACCUUGAAACUCCUGUAGCCUGUAAUACCAGCUGUGGGUACUACUCUCAGUGUUGGAGAUCAUCAAAAUACAAUUGGACCAGACCCUUUGGAAAUAAUUCUGUGUCUCAAAUGCCCUGUGGAGCACACACUUAAUCAGUUGAUGGCUAUGGAAUUUUCCAACAUCAGCUAAAGAGAAGGGAUAGAGUGGUGACUUCCAAGCUUCAUGCAGAACCGGACAACAGAAAUUGAGAGGGAAAUUUUUAUGACAGAAGAGAGAAAGAAGAAAAUUGCUGGAAAUGACCUUGAAUAGAGGAGAUGGGAUAUCAUCUGGUAAG